AUGGUUGUUUCCAUCCUGGUGAACUCAUCAGCCCAGAUGGAGGUGCCGGAAGAGCCCCGCACUCCUUGGGCGUUAAGGUUUCGCGUGCCGUGGGGUCGUUUCAGCAGAACACUUGGCAUCCUCUCGAGAUCUGUGAGCAGCCACCAUGUCGAUCUUCACCCCACCAACCACAUCCGGCUGACCAACGUGGCUGUGGUGCGGAUGAAGUGGGGAGGGAAGCGCUUCGAAAUCGCCUGCUAUAGAAACAAGAUCAUCGGCUGGCGGAGUGGCAUGGAAAAAGACCUUGAUGAAAUUCUGCAGACCCAUUCAGUGUUUGUAAAUGUUUCCAAAGGUCAGGUUGCCAAGAAGGAAGACCUCAUCAGUGCAUUUGGGACAGAUGACCAGACUGAAAUCUGCAAGCAGAUUUUGACUAAAGGAGAAGUUCAAGUGUCAGAUAAAGAACGGCACACACAGCUGGAGCAGAUGUUUAGGGAUAUUGCCACCAUUGUGGCAGACACGUGUGUGAAUCCAGAAACAAAAAGACCUUACACCGUUAUCCUCAUCGAGAGAGCCAUGAAGGACAUCCACUACUCUGUGAAACCCAACAAGAGCACAAAGCAGCAGGCUUUGGAAGUGAUAAAGCAGCUGAAAGAGAAGAUGAAGAUAGAGCGAGCCCACAUGCGAUUGCGCUUUAUCCUGCCAAUGAACGAAGGGAAGAAGCUGAAGGAAAAGCUGAAGCCGCUGAUGGAGGUGGUGGAGAGUGAGGACUACAGCCAUCAGCUGGAGAUCGUGUGCCUCAUCGACCCCGGCUGCUUUAGAGAAAUUGAUGAGCUAAUAAAAAAGGAAACGAAAGGCAAGGGUUCUCUGGAAGUGCUCAGUCUGAAGGACGUGGAGGAAGGAGAUGAGAAGUUUGAAUGACACCGCCCGGCGCCUCAGCCGGAGCAGGACCGCAGACUCUUGUUCCUGACAGCAGCAGCAGCUCAUUCUGUGACCUGCCAAAAACCCUGCCCAAGCAACAUGCCACUUUCUAUCUUGUGUUAAACAUUUACCCAGGUACCUGGGUAUUUUUGUUGUCAAUUGGAGUUUCCAGCGAAAAUGAAAAAUAACCCAAAAUACAGAGUCCAGAACAG
Molecule: RNA transcript, 1109 nt
Organism: Mus pahari (shrew mouse)
Lineage: Eukaryota; Metazoa; Chordata; Mammalia; Rodentia; Muridae
Gene name: ribosome maturation protein SBDS pseudogene
Exons: 2
Source: RefSeq, a predicted model, not a curated record